Molecule: long non-coding RNA, 185 nt
Organism: Haliotis rubra (blacklip abalone)
Lineage: Eukaryota; Metazoa; Mollusca; Gastropoda; Lepetellida; Haliotidae
Exons: 3
Source: RefSeq, a predicted model, not a curated record
UUUCAUGUCACAAUCAGCAAGUGUGUAGCCAUGGUGACCAACACUGCCAUUAUUUACUUGAUUGUGAUGCUUGUAUGGAGCCCGCAAGUGUCCAGCCAAGACGCCAACUGUCCCCAGGACUGUACCUUAGUGAAUAUAGCACGAGAAGCAAUUAGCAAUCUGACAACUAGGUACAACAUAUAUUA